CUUUCAGUACUUACACUUUACCAUCCAUCUCCUUUCACUGAUCACCUAUUUUGAGAUCCAUAAAUGUUGCUGAAUGCUGUAUCUGUAGUUCUGACACUUGGGCUUCUAAUUUUGACAAACAUUUCAGUUGUUUCCUGUUUGAAGCUGUUAUGACAAAGGCUAAUAAAGCAGAACCUUUUGAUGAACUCUGGAUUUCUGUGAGUGCCUUUGGCAUUUCCUCAGUAGCCAGUUACUAUAACAAUUGCAGAGUCAUAGUGAGCAACCUCAGACUGGCUAAGAAAGUUUUUCUCUUCACACUGUGUUUAAGGAAACAUUGCAUUCCUCCUCCAAUGCAUGCUCUUACUGACAGCCCAACGUCAUCGAUCAGCAAGAAGCUCUUAAUUCCCAGGACCCAUCUGAGCCUUCCUGAGGUGGGAGUCCUUGAACGAACUGAAGCUUUCUCACUAUUUCCUGUCUCUUCCUACUAUCACUAUGCUUUCUUAAAACCAAUCUGACAUUUUUGUUUGUUUGUUUCCUCCAAAUGUGUUUCCAUGUUAGGUAGAAGCUUACCUAAGUUUGUAUCCUAUUCCAGGUUUUAUUAGUGGCUGAUAACAGGUUAAUAUUCUUCCUCUUACUGAGCAAUAGCUAGGGGAAUGUUACCAGAGCUCUCCUGGGUGCAGAGUGAUAAUAGUAGAUGUCAUCAUUAUCAUGGUGGUGGUUUAUGCUUGUUUAGUCACUAAGUCAUGUCAGACCAUUGUGACCCCAUGGACUGUAGCCUGCCAGGCUCCUCUGUCCAUGGGAUUCUCCAGGCAAGAAUACUGGAUUGGGUUGCCAUUUCCUUCUCCAGGAGAUCUUCCUGACCUAGGAAUCAAAUCCAGGUCUCCUGCCUUUCAGGCAGAUUCUUUACCCACUGAGCUAUGAGGGAAGAUCCUCCUUCCUCCUGCUGGAAGUGAAC
This 934-nucleotide long non-coding RNA is filed under the name Capra hircus (goat). Its description in RNAcentral is "lncRNA (ENSCHIG00000001353.1)". The record is from RNAcentral. Lineage: Eukaryota; Metazoa; Chordata; Mammalia; Artiodactyla; Bovidae.